This 450-nucleotide ribosomal RNA is filed under the name uncultured bacterium. Its description in RNAcentral is "bacterial SSU rRNA". It matches the Rfam family "Bacterial small subunit ribosomal RNA", at positions 354 to 796 of the family's 1533-position model. The record is from RNAcentral.
GUGGGGAAUUUUGGACAAUGGGCGAAAGCCUGAUCCAGCCAUGCCGCGUGCAGGAUGAAGGCCUUCGGGUUGUAAACUGCUUUUGUACGGAACGAAACGGUCCGGGUUAAUACCCUGGGCUAAUGACGGUACCGUAAGAAUAAGCACCGGCUAACUACGUGCCAGCAGCCGCGGUAAUACGUAGGGUGCAAGCGUUAAUCGGAAUUACUGGGCGUAAAGCGUGCGCAGGCGGUUUUGUAAGACAGGCGUGAAAUCCCCGGGCUCAACCUGGGAAUUGCGCUUGGGACUGCAAGGCUGGAGUGCGGCAGAGGGGGAUGGAAUUCCGCGUGUAGCAGUGAAAUGCGUAGAUAUGCGGAGGAACACCGAUGGCGAAGGCAAUCCCCUGGGCCUGCACUGACGCUCAUGCACGAAAGCGUGGGGAGCAAACAGGAUUAGAUACCCUUGUAGUCC